Long non-coding RNA from Urocitellus parryii (Arctic ground squirrel), 834 nucleotides. RefSeq lists it as uncharacterized. NCBI's taxonomy places the organism in Eukaryota, Metazoa, Chordata, Mammalia, Rodentia, Sciuridae. The record is from RefSeq and is a predicted model, not a curated record.
UUCAAGGCGGCCCCAGGCCGCUUGAUGAAAGGAGAUAAGCUGGGGACUGUUUCCAGGAUCCCCGCGGGCCGACCCCGGCAGCCCGGGAGCGGAGGUGCGGCGGAGAGCCCKUGGAUCAAAGGAAUCCGCAGAGAAAGGGGAAAGCGGGCAGACGGACGAGCCGGCCUUGCCCCCCGCGGGCCGCGCUGGCCCGGGGUGGGGGCCGCGGGCGGGGACUCCGGGAUUUCCCGCCCGCCGGGCACCAGGCCUCUGCAGGCUCCCACUUCGGGCACUUGGCCUGGAGGAACUCCAGACGAACAUACUGGGAUCUGCAGAUCCGCCUUUUACAGGAAGAGGGCCAGGAGGGGCAAAGAGAGAAGAUAUUAAGCCUCAAAGGUGCAGGGGGACUGGCCCAAAGACCAGACCUGAGACUGGGGCCAGGAUGCUGCAGGCUGGCACAUGGAGGGGCAGGAGUCUGACCUAAACACCCUUCAAUCUUGGCAUUGAGGAAAGUCCCCUGAGGACAGGAGCCAGACCCAGGAGGGAAAGCCCCAUGACCCAACAUACAGGAACAGGCUGAUUUUUCAGUGCAGAAAGUCUCCUGGAGCAGGUGGUAUAAAAUCAAAGCCCCUACAUCCAAGCCAGACACAAAAGCGCCCUGGAAGUACCCGGACCCGCGUCCGGAGAAGCGCACGCACCCGCCGAUGCCGCGGGCUCUGCAUCCCCACCUGCUCCGUUCCGCCUGUCCCUGAGAACCAGGAGGCGGCCGGAGGCGCCAUAAUGGCAAAUUUAUGGCCUGGGUGACGUGCUUUCCUCUCCCACAAUGGGGCCCCGUGACAUUAAACAGAAAAUUGA